RNAcentral lists this ribosomal RNA (1148 nucleotides) under Triticum aestivum (bread wheat). RNAcentral's name for it is "partial small subunit ribosomal RNA". The record is from RNAcentral. Lineage: Eukaryota; Viridiplantae; Streptophyta; Magnoliopsida; Poales; Poaceae.
UGCGAGUAGCAAAUUUAUAUUAGCAGGACCAGAAGCAUAAACACACGCUCCUAUCCUUAUCCUUGUCCUCGGCCACAAAUUUAGAACCAGACAUAUGCUGGUAGUUGAAAGAAAUCAUAGGAAAAUUAUGUUAUGCGUCCAUUAAUAAUUAAAAUCAAGCUAGUCUUUGCAUUGCAAGGCCUGGUGUUUCCGAGCUGCUAUCUGUCGUCGACGCCACCACGACCUGAGACCGCGUCACCCUCCUGCGCGAGUCCAUCUCCGCGCAUCAGACUCCGAGUCAUCACAGCGCCAUGCCACCAAGGUCCGCCGCCAUCAAUGAGUGAGAUGACGCACCGCUCCACCAAAGAAUCCGUUCUCUGGUCCCUCGAUCACGUGUGUACCUCCAAGAAUGAUGCCCCAAAUUGGUGAACGACACUAGAGCGCCGCCGUCAUUCGAUCAUCCGAUCUAGGCUUUCCCCCGGAGGUAGCAGAGAGUGGCCUUGAGCUUCUCCACGGCGACGCCUUCAAGAAGGGAACAAUGCAGAUAGCGUCGUCACCGCCGGCCUUGGCAAUAGCCGAAAACAAGUUUUCACCCAGAUCUGUUCGAAGGAAUCCAACCCCUGUGCACGGCCACCGCCACCACCAGGCUAAGCACUCGCCGCCGCAGGCACCUCCACGAUGCCCAGAGGCCGCGGGACUGACCACCACCACGCCUGUGCCGCCAGCCACUGCUGCAAUACCAACCCCAGCAUCCACCGGAUCUGGCCAGGGAUCCCAGAUCCAUCCCCCACCACCCACCACCACGGAGGGGAGGAGGCGGCGCUAGCGAGGGACGCCGGGAGGGGGAGAAGGAGCCGAGGCAGGGCCAGCCCGACGCCCGACACCACCGGGUAGAUGGGAACGCCCCGCGGAGUACCCAAUUGCGUGCGGGAGAGAGCCGCCCCGCCGCCGCCAACGCCACAUGGCCUUUAGCCGGCGACGCCCCAGGCGGUGGCGAGGGAGGGGGUUGGGGCGAAGGGGGCUGCACUGGCGCUAGGGUUCCUCCCGGGGGCGCCCGCGGGAGUGCCUCGGGGAGGGGAGUGGACGUAUAGAAAAUCUGCAGUACACGUUCCAUUUGCGAGUAGCAAAUUUAUAUUAGCAGGACCAGAAGCAUAAACACACGCUCCUAU